AUUGACAAAUUAAGAUCAUGAUUAGAAUAAAAAAUAAAUCUCAAUCCAUAAAAUUUUCUUGUAAGAAAUGCCAAAUCAUUAUUAUCAUCACUUUGGGCUUGAUACCAGAAUAAUAAAUUUUCAAAUUAUCAUUACUUGGGUAUGCAUGAUACCAAAACAUAGUUUCAAGUCAUCAAGGUAUAACAUGCACAAUUUCAAAC
Molecule: long non-coding RNA, 200 nt
Filed under: Musa acuminata (dwarf banana)
Lineage: Eukaryota; Viridiplantae; Streptophyta; Magnoliopsida; Zingiberales; Musaceae
Description: long non-coding RNA (MACU_LNC005742)
Source: RNAcentral